AAAUAAGAAGUAAUUAAAUUACAUAUUAAUUUCGACUUAAUAAUAGAUUAAAUAAUCCUUAUUUU
Molecule: non-coding RNA, 65 nt
Organism: Aphis gossypii (cotton aphid)
Lineage: Eukaryota; Metazoa; Arthropoda; Insecta; Hemiptera; Aphididae
Source: the annotation of a RefSeq genome assembly